This 254-nucleotide ribosomal RNA is filed under the name uncultured bacterium. Its description in RNAcentral is "partial 16S ribosomal RNA". It matches the Rfam family "Bacterial small subunit ribosomal RNA", at positions 524 to 776 of the family's 1533-position model. The record is from RNAcentral.
UACGUAGGGUGCAAGCGUUGUCCGGAAUUAUUGGGCGUAAAGAGCUCGUAGGCGGUUUGUCGCGUCUGCUGUGAAAACCCGAGGCUCAACCUCGGGCCUGCAGUGGGGUACGGGCAGACUAGAGUGCGGUAGGGGAGAUUGGAAUUCCUGGUGUAGCGGUGGAAUGCGCAGAUAUCAGGAGGAACACCAAUGGCGAAGGCAGCACUCUGGGACGUGACUGACGCUGAGACGCGAAAGCGUGGGGAGCAAACAGG